CCUACGGGCGGCAGCAGUGGGGAAUAUUGCACAAUGGGGGAAACCCUGAUGCAGCGACGCCGCGUGAGUGAAGAAGUAAUUCGUUAUGUAAAGCUCUAUCAGCAGGGAAGAAAAUGACGGUACCUGAGUAAGAAGCCCCGGCUAACUACGUGCCAGCAGCCGCGGUAAUACGUAGGGGGCAAGCGUUAUCCGGAUUUACUGGGUGGAAAGGGAGCGUAGACGGCAGGGCAAGUCUGGAGUGAAAGGCGGGGGCUCAACCCCCGGACUGCUCUGGAAACUGUACGGCUGGAGUGCAGGAGAGGUAAGUGGAAUUCCUAGUGUAGCGGUGAAAUGCGUAGAUAUUAGGAGGAACACCAGUGGCGAAGGCGGCUUACUGGACUGUAACUGACGUUGAGGCUCGAAAGCGUGGGGAGCAAACAGGAUUAGAUACCCCAGUAGUC
Molecule: ribosomal RNA, 440 nt
Filed under: uncultured bacterium
Lineage: Bacteria
Description: partial 16S ribosomal RNA
Rfam family: Bacterial small subunit ribosomal RNA
Source: RNAcentral